RNAcentral lists this long non-coding RNA (1503 nucleotides) under Parus major (Great Tit). RNAcentral's name for it is "lncRNA (ENSPMJG00000003855.1)". Lineage: Eukaryota; Metazoa; Chordata; Aves; Passeriformes; Paridae. The record is from RNAcentral.
UGGGAAUUCUGGGAUUUAUUCCUGGGGUUUAUUUGUGGGAAUUCUGGGAUUUCUGGGAUUUAUUCCUGGGAUUAAUCUGUGGGAAUUCUGGGAUUUACGGGAUUUAUUCCUGGGGUUUAUUCAUGGGAAUUCCAGGAUUUCUGGGAUUUAUUCCUGGGAUUUCUUUGUGGGAAUUCUGGGAUUUACGGGAUUUAUUUAUGGGAUUUAUUCCUGGGGUUUAUUCCUGGGAAUUCCGGGAUUUCUGGGAUUUAUUCCUGGGAUUUAUUCCUGGGAUUUCUGGGAUUUAUUCCUGGGAUUUAUUUGUGGGAAUUCCAGGAUUUCUGGGAUUUAUUCCUGGGGUUUAUUCUUGGGAAUUCUGGGAUUCCUGGGAUUUAUUCCUGGGGUUUAUUUAUGGGAAUUUUGGGAUUUCUGGGAUUUAUUCCUGGGAUUUAUUUUUGGGAUUUAUGGGAUUUAUUCCUGAGGUUUAUUCCUGGCAAUUCCAGGAUUUAUGGGAUUUGUUCCUGGGGUUUAUUCAUGGGAAUUCUGGGAUUUAUUUAUGGGAUUUAGUCAUGGGAAUUCCAGGAUUUACGGGAUUUAUUCCUGGGAUUUAUUCCUGGGAAUUCCGGGAUUUAUUCCUGGGGUUUAUUUAUGGGAUUUACAGGAUUUAUUCCUGGGAAUUUGUGGGAAUUCCAGGAUUUACGGGAUUUAUUUGUGGGAAUUUUGGGAUUUCUGGGAUUUAUUCCUGGGAUUUAUUUGUGGAUUUUCUGGGAUUUAUUCCUGGGGUUUAUUUGUGGGAAUUCCAGGAUUUCUGGGAUUUAUUCCUGGGAUUUAAUUCUGAGAAUUCCAGGAUUUAUUUAUGGGAUUUCUGGGAUUUAUUCCUGGGAAUUCUAGGAUUUAUUUAUGGGAAUUCUGGGAUUUAUUCCUGGGGUUUAUUUAUGGGAAUUCUGGGAUUUAUUCCCGGGAUUUAUGGGGUUUAGUUCCAGGAAUUCCAGGAUUUAUUCCUGGGGUUUAUUUAGGGGGAUUCUGGGAAUUCUGGGAUUUAUGGGGUUAAUUUCCCCUUUCCUAUUAAUUAACCGGUGUUUAAUUAACCCCGUGUGUGCCAGUGACCUGCUGCAGAACGCUCUUAUUGAUAUUUAUAUUUAUAUUUAUAUUUAUAAUUUUAAUUUUUAAUUUUUAAUUUCUAUUUUAAUUUCCCCUUUCCCAUUAAUUAACCCCAAUGAAUUAAUUACCCUUUGUUGCAGUGACCUGCUGCAGAACGCUCUUAUUUAUAUUUAUAUUGAUAUUGAUAUUGAUAUUUACAUUUACAUUUUUAGUUAUAUUUUUUAUUUUAUUUUUAAUUUCUAAUUUAUAAUUUUAAUGGCCAUUUCCCUGUUAAUUAACCCCAAUUAAUUAAUUACCCUUUGUGUGGCAGUGACCUGCUGCAGAACGCUCUUAUUGAUAUUGAUAUUGAUAUUUACAUUUACAUUUUUAUUUAUAUUUUUUAUUUUAUUUUUAAUUUAUAAUUUACAAUUUUAAUGGCCAUUU